This 1616-nucleotide ribosomal RNA is filed under the name Staphylococcus pseudintermedius. RNAcentral describes it as "partial 23S ribosomal RNA". It matches the Rfam family "Bacterial large subunit ribosomal RNA", at positions 1287 to 2903 of the family's 2925-position model. The record is from RNAcentral. Lineage: Bacteria; Bacillati; Bacillota; Bacilli; Caryophanales; Staphylococcaceae.
AGUGAGAAUGCCGGUGUGAGUAGCGAAAGACGGGUGAGAAUCCCGUCCACCGAUUGACUAAGGUUUCCAGAGGAAGGCUCGUCCGCUCUGGGUUAGUCGGGUCCUAAGCUGAGGCCGACAGGCGUAGGCGAUGGAUAACAGGUUGAUAUUCCUGUACCACCAUUAUUCGUUUUAAGCGAUGGGGGGACGCAGUAGGAUAGGCGAAGCGUGCUGUUGGAGUGCACGUCCAAGCAGUGAGAUUGAGUGUUAGGCAAAUCCGGCACUCUUAAGAUUGAGCUGUGAUGGGGAGAGGAACUUGUUCCUCGAGUCGUUGAUUUCACACUGCCGAGAAAAGCCUCUAGCUAGAAUAACGGUGCCCGUACCGCAAACCGACACAGGUAGUCAAGAUGAGAAUUCUAAGGUGAGCGAGCGAACUCUCGUUAAGGAACUCGGCAAAAUGACCCCGUAACUUCGGGAGAAGGGGUGCUCUUUGAGGUUCACGCUUCGAAGAGCCGCAGUGAAUAGGCCCAAGCGACUGUUUAUCAAAAACACAGGUCUCUGCUAAACCGUAAGGUGACGUAUAGGGGCUGACGCCUGCCCGGUGCUGGAAGGUUAAGAGGAGUGGUUAGCGCAAGCGAAGCUACGAAUCGAAGCCCCAGUAAACGGCGGCCGUAACUAUAACGGUCCUAAGGUAGCGAAAUUCCUUGUCGGGUAAGUUCCGACCCGCACGAAAGGCGUAACGAUUUGGGCACUGUCUCAACGAGAGACUCGGUGAAAUCAUAGUACCGGUGAAGAUGCCGGUUACCCGCGACAGGACGGAAAGACCCCGUGGAGCUUUACUGUAGCCUGAUAUUGAAAUUCGGUACAGUUUGUACAGGAUAGGUAGGAGCCUUAGAAGCGUGAGCGCUAGCUUACGUGGAGGCAUUGGUGGGAUACUACCCUAAUUGUAUUGGAUUUCUAACCCGCAGCACUUAUCGUGCUGGGAGACAGUGUCAGGCGGGCAGUUUGACUGGGGCGGUCGCCUCCUAAAGAGUAACGGAGGCGCUCAAAGGUUCCCUCAGAAUGGUUGGAAAUCAUUCAUAGAGUGUAAAGGCAUAAGGGAGCUUGACUGCGAGACCUACAAGUCGAGCAGGGUCGAAAGACGGACUUAGUGAUCCGGUGGUUCCGCAUGGAAGGGCCAUCGCUCAACGGAUAAAAGCUACCCCGGGGAUAACAGGCUUAUCUCCCCCAAGAGUUCACAUCGACGGGGAGGUUUGGCACCUCGAUGUCGGCUCAUCGCAUCCUGGGGCUGUAGUCGGUCCCAAGGGUUGGGCUGUUCGCCCAUUAAAGCGGUACGCGAGCUGGGUUCAGAACGUCGUGAGACAGUUCGGUCCCUAUCCGUCGUGGGCGUAGGAAAUUUGAGAGGAGCUGUCCUUAGUACGAGAGGACCGGGAUGGACAUACCUCUGGUGUACCAGUUGUCGUGCCAACGGCAUAGCUGGGUAGCUAUGUAUGGACGGGAUAAGUGCUGAAAGCAUCUAAGCAUGAAGCCCCCCUCGAGAUGAGAUUUCCCAACUUCGGUUAUAAGAUCCCUCAAAGAUGAUGAGGUGAAUAGGUUCGAGGUGGAAGCGUAGCGAUACGUGGAGCUGACGAAUACUA